GAUGAACGCUGGCGGCGUGCCUAAUACAUGCAAGUCGAGCGAACGGACGAGAAGCUUGCUUCUCUGAUGUUAGCGGCGGACGGGUGAGUAACACGUGGAUAACCUACCUAUAAGACUGGGAUAACUUCGGGAAACCGGAGCUAAUACCGGAUAAUAUUUUGAACCGCAUGGUUCAAAAGUGAAAGACGGUCUUGCUGUCACUUAUAGAUGGAUCCGCGCUGCAUUAGCUAGUUGGUAAGGUAACGGCUUACCAAGGCAACGAUGCAUAGCCGACCUGAGAGGGUGAUCGGCCACACUGGAACUUAAACACGGUCCAGACUCCUACGGGAGGCAGCAGUAGGGAAUCUUCCGCAAUGGGCGAAAGCCUGACGGAGCAACGCCGCGUGAGUGAUGAAGGUCUUCGGAUCGUAAAACUCUGUUAUUAGGGAAGAACAUAUGUGUAAGUAACUGUGCACAUCUUGACGGUACCUAAUCAGAAAGCCACGGCUAACUACGUG
This 497-nucleotide ribosomal RNA is filed under the name uncultured bacterium. RNAcentral's name for it is "partial 16S ribosomal RNA". It matches the Rfam family "Bacterial small subunit ribosomal RNA", at positions 28 to 507 of the family's 1533-position model. The record is from RNAcentral.